This is a long non-coding RNA of Salarias fasciatus (jewelled blenny), 123 nucleotides long. RefSeq lists it as uncharacterized. NCBI's taxonomy places the organism in Eukaryota, Metazoa, Chordata, Actinopteri, Blenniiformes, Blenniidae. The record is from RefSeq and is a predicted model, not a curated record. The transcript has 3 exons.
CUUGAGCUAAAUCCGGCAUAUUUACAGCACUGAUGUCUGUUCAUUAAUAUGCAUUGUCCCAUUCAAAUAAAGUAAUACAUGAAAUGAAAUUAAUGAAAUUGUUUUCUGUUGUAAUAAUGAUUG